This 83-nucleotide small RNA is filed under the name Marmota monax (woodchuck). Lineage: Eukaryota; Metazoa; Chordata; Mammalia; Rodentia; Sciuridae. The record is from RNAcentral.
GCUGGGUGUGGUGGCGCAUGCCUAUAAUCCCAGCUAUUCAGGAGGCUGAGGCAGGAGGAUCACAAGUUCAAAACCAGCUUCAG